This 847-nucleotide ribosomal RNA is filed under the name uncultured bacterium. Its description in RNAcentral is "bacterial SSU rRNA". It matches the Rfam family "Bacterial small subunit ribosomal RNA", at positions 32 to 860 of the family's 1533-position model. The record is from RNAcentral.
AACGCUGGCGGCAUGCCUAAUACAUGCAAGUCGAACGCUGAAGCACUCUGCUUGCAGAGUGCGGAUGAGUGGCGAACGGGUGAGUAACACGUGGGGAAUCUGCCUAGGAGUGGGGGAUAACAUUCGGAAACGGAUGCUAAUACCGCAUAUCUUCUUAGACCGCAUGGUCUAUGAAUGAAAGACGGCUUUGCUGUCGCUCUUAGAUGAUCCCGCGGCGUAUUAGUUAGUUGGUGGGGUAAAGGCCUACCAAGACAAUGAUACGUAGCCGACCUGAGAGGGUGAUCGGCCACACUGGGACUGAGACACGGCCCAGACUCCUACGGGAGGCAGCAGUAGGGAAUCUUCCACAAUGGGUGCAAACCUGAUGGAGCAAUGCCGCGUGAAUGAAGAAGGUCUUCGGAUCGUAAAGUUCUGUUAUUAGUGAAGAACAAAUCGAGGAGUAACUGUCUCGAUUUUGACGGUAACUAACCAGAAAGUCACGGCUAACUACGUGCCAGCAGCCGCGGUAAUACGUAGGUGACAAGCGUUGUCCGGAAUUAUUGGGCGUAAAGGGAGCGCAGGCGGUUGGAAUAGUCUGAUGUGAAAGCCCACGGCUUAACCGUGGAAGGUCAUUGGAAACUGUCCAACUUGAAUGCAGAAGAGGUAAGUGGAAUUCCAUGUGUAGCGGUGAAAUGCGUAGAUAUAUGGAGGAACACCAGUGGCGAAGGCGACUUACUGGUCUGUGAUUGACGCUGAGGCUCGAAAGCGUGGGUAGCGAACAGGAUUAGAUACCCUGGUAGUCCACGCCGUAAACGAUGAGUGCUAAGUGUUGGAGGGUUUCCGCCCUUCAGUGCUGGAGUUAACGCAU